CUACGGGAGGCUCCAGCGGGGAAUAUUGCACAAUGGGCGCAAGCCUGAUGCAGCCAUGCCGCGUGUAUGAAGAAGGCCUUCGGGUUGUAAAGUACUUUCAGCGGGGAGGAAGGGAGUAAAGUUAAUACCUUUGCUCAUUGACGUUACCCGCAGAAGAAGCACCGGCUAACUCCGUGGCCAGCAGCCGCGGUAAUACGGAGGGUGCAAGCGUUAAUCGGAAUUACUGGGCGUAAAGCGCACGCAGGCGGUUUGUUAAGUCAGAUGUGAAAUCCCCGGGCUCAACCUGGGAACUGCAUCUGAUACUGGCAAGCUUGAGUGUCGUAGAGGGGGGUAGAAUUCCAGGUGUAGCGGUGAAAUGCGUAGAGAUCUGGAGGAAUACCGGUGGCGAAGGCGGCCCCCUGGACGAAGACUGACGCUCAGGUGCGAAAGCGUGGGGAGCAAACAGGAUUAGAUACCCGAGUAGUC
Molecule: ribosomal RNA, 465 nt
Filed under: uncultured bacterium
Lineage: Bacteria
Description: partial 16S ribosomal RNA
Rfam family: Bacterial small subunit ribosomal RNA
Source: RNAcentral